This is a non-coding RNA of Pelobates cultripes (western spadefoot toad), 1073 nucleotides long. NCBI's taxonomy places the organism in Eukaryota, Metazoa, Chordata, Amphibia, Anura, Pelobatidae. The record is from the annotation of a GenBank genome assembly.
AAACCCCAACCGCAGGGCGGCCUUGGGCUCCCUGACCUAGCCACAUACCACCGAGCUAUCCAUCUACUACGGAUAAUCGAAUGGACAACAGCACCCCUGGAUAAACUCUGGACAAACAUAGAAGCCAGCUUCACGACACUACCUCUGCAAACACUCCCGUGGCAACCCACAACACCAGUGACCAGGGGAGACCGAAGCCACCCCACAAUAGCCGCCACCCUCCACAUCUGGAAGAAAAUAUCGGCAGGGGUGGACCUCUCCCCACCUACUUCCCCUCUCUACCCCGUCAUGAGUAACCUGGCAUUUAGUGGCCUGGACACCGCCUGGACCACCAGAUCUAUUGACAAGAUUUAGACAUCACCAAAUCACACUCAGACUCAAACAGUUACCUAACAUAAAUUCGGCCGACAGACCGCUAACCACGUUUGAGACAAAGUGCACCCAGCCACUCCCCCCACCACAUGACAUAUCACUGCUUUACCGGCUACUGCAAACACCGCCAACAAACCAGAACUUCUCGUAUUUCACUAAACACUGGGAACGAGACUUAGGCCACCCUCUUACAAUAGAACAAUGAACCAACGCCUUUAACGCUGACAGCACGAAAUACCAGGAAUCCGGAUACAAACUCGCUUCUAUUAGCAACACCUGCACACUGGAAUGCUGGAGAUGCGGCAAGGAGCUGGGCACGCUAUUCCACAUAUGGUGGUCGUGCACCCAGAUCCAACCAUAUUGGCAAGAGAUUCCCCCUGAUCAUCUCGGUAAUCAUGGAAGACUCCGUUGAAUACACUCCAAAAACCUAUCUACUCCACAUGACCCCCAUACUGCUGAAGACCUACAAGAAAACCGUCAUUCCAUAUUUGAUAAACGCCGCAUGCAGCCUCGUCCCGACAGAGUUCAUCCCCCUCCACCAAGGAUUGGAUCACUAGAGUGGAAGACAUCAGGAACAUAGAGGAAAUAAUCCUGAUGGCAAGGGGAAAGAGCCAGACCUACCAGAAAAUAUUGUACCACUUGACACAUUGGCUAACAACAAUCUACCCAAGCCGGAUAGGAAACACACAACUUUCAGCGGC